AAAGGAGGGGUGGGGUAAGAAGGAGGGCGGGACGCUGAGAAAUUAUUUAAAAAAAAAGACAGGAGAUGGGUGGGGUUACACUGUGUGUGUGAGAGAGAGAGAGAGAGAGAGAGGUGACAGGGCUUGGAAUCUCCUUCCUGCUGAGGUUGUUGGAAGGGGUAAUGAGGCAUGUGGGGCGGCGAAAAUGGGAGUUGCCGCAAAGAGUACAAUUCUAGCCGAUGGGCAGACGCCCAGCUCCCCGUAAU
This 245-nucleotide long non-coding RNA is filed under the name Elaeis guineensis (African oil palm). Its description in RNAcentral is "long non-coding RNA (EGUI_LNC026076)". Lineage: Eukaryota; Viridiplantae; Streptophyta; Magnoliopsida; Arecales; Arecaceae. The record is from RNAcentral.